GGUUCCAUAGCUCAGCUGGUAGAGCAUCACCUUGACAUGGUGAGGGUCGUUGGUUCAAACCCAAUUGGAGCCACCA
This 76-nucleotide transfer RNA is filed under the name Candidatus Campylobacter infans. Its description in RNAcentral is "Campylobacter sp. CGEMS tRNA-Val". It matches the Rfam family "tRNA". From Rfam's summary of the family: Transfer RNA (tRNA) molecules are approximately 80 nucleotides in length. The record is from RNAcentral. Lineage: Bacteria; Pseudomonadati; Campylobacterota; Epsilonproteobacteria; Campylobacterales; Campylobacteraceae.